Molecule: transfer RNA, 72 nt
Filed under: Candidatus Iainarchaeum sp.
Lineage: Archaea; Nanobdellati; Candidatus Iainarchaeota; Candidatus Iainarchaeia; Candidatus Iainarchaeales; Candidatus Iainarchaeaceae
Also listed under: 1 other name
Description: tRNA-Phe
Rfam family: tRNA
About the family: Transfer RNA (tRNA) molecules are approximately 80 nucleotides in length. Their secondary structure includes four short double-helical elements and three loops (D, anti-codon, and T loops).
Source: RNAcentral
GGGGCAGUAGCUCAGUGGGAGAGCACACGGCUGAAGACCGUGGUGUCGCGAGUUCGAAUCUCGCCUGCCCCA